Molecule: long non-coding RNA, 335 nt
Filed under: Olea europaea (common olive)
Lineage: Eukaryota; Viridiplantae; Streptophyta; Magnoliopsida; Lamiales; Oleaceae
Description: long non-coding RNA (OEUR_LNC001549)
Source: RNAcentral
AUAUAAAAUUUUACCUUAUUGUUUAUGCUAUUUACUCGAUGACAGCUUUGUCAAUUGGCCAUGCAACUGUGGUACCAACACAUUCUUCAAUAUAAGUCAUAUCAGAAGUAGGCCUCCACAAGAAUGUAUCAGGUUUCAAAACUACAUCACCCCAAACUCUCACAGCAUUAGGUCCUAGAGGAAUGUGAUAAACCAAUAUUUUUGGAUCAUUUGAAGAGCAACGUCCUUCUGCUACCUCUUCUCAUGUUUCGGUCCAAUCUAGUAGCUUACACUUAUUGUUGAGUGUAUUAGUGUUUACACUCUUCAACAACACAAAUUUAGGAGCCAGGUUAUAA